AUGACUUUCAGCAAAGGAUAUCUCAGCUCUUGCAUCGAUGAAGAACAUAACAUAAUGUGAUACUUUGUAUGAAUUGCAUAUUCUCAUGAACCAUCAAGUCUUUGAAUGCAAGUAGUGCUCUAAGCCAUUAGGUCAAGGGCACGCUUACCUGGGUGUCAUGCAUCAUUGCCCCUUUCAACUCCCUACCCAUCGGGCUUCAGGUGAGGGGGUAAAAGAUGGCCUCUCGUGAUCUUGUCAGUUGUGGUUGGCCUAAAAGUAAGUCCCCAGCAAUGAUAGUGCCAUGACUAUCAAUGGUAAAGCUCUCGACAUGCCUCGUCUUUGGUGACAUGCACUCAUUGUCCAUCCAAACCCCAUCGGACCCUCCACAUCACUUAGUUAAUGCUUGUAUCAAAACCUUAGGUUAGGAGGGAUUACCCACUAAGUUUAAGCAUAUCAAUAAGUGAAGAAAAAGAAACUUACCAAGAUUCCACUAGUAAUAACGAGCGAACUAAGAAUAGCCCAGCUUGAGAAUCAGGCACCCUUAAAGUCUAAAUUGUAGUUUAGAGAAGCGUUCUCAAUGAUAGAUUGGGCCCAAGUCUCCUGAAAAUGGGUGCAAGAGAGGGUGAGAGCCUUAUUAUGCCUAGACCUUAUUGCACUACUAAGUGUUGUCUAUGAGUUGGAUUGUUUGGGAAUGCAAUCACAAUCGGGAGGUAAAUUUUGUCCAAGGCUGAAUAUGGUGAGAGACCGAAAGUAAACAAGUACCAUAAGGGAAAAAUGAAAAAAACUUUUAAAAAAGAGUCAAAGAGUGCUUGAAAUUGUUAAGAGGGAAGCGAAUGAGGGCCAGUGAUACACCCUAGUUGGAUGUGAAACGACAAGAGUUGGUUUGUUGAUCAGCUCAGGGCAUGGAUCGAUGUAGGUCAUAACCAUGGUCCAAGCCUAGGCUUUCAAUAUGCCUAUUGAGAAUUUGUCACCAUGAUUAUGGAAUGUAGCACACCUCAUCUCAACAUGCCUUACCAUCAACAUACUCAUGGCAUCAGCCUACAGCUCUGUAUCCGACCCAUCUUGAAACAUGAACCAAGUAAUUUGACAUGUGUGUGAGUCAAAAGGCUAGAAAACCUAUAAGGCAUAAGGAAGCUUAUUGGUGGGAUCCUUAGUGGGUGCACCACUGACCAACCUUGAUAUUUUAAGAAAGGUUUAAGUGUGAGCAAGCCUGUCAAAAUGCAAAAAAUGGUGAACUAAGCCUAAGUAGGGCGAAGCCAAAGGAAACUCUGGUGGAGGCCCACAACGAUACUGAUGUGCAAAUUAUUUGUUUGAUUUAGGUAUAAGGGCAAAAGACUAAUCAAACUAUCUAGUAACUAGUUCCCUCUAAAGUUUUUCUUAGGAUAGCUAGAGCCCUUAGUGAGUUUUAUCAGGUAAAGCCAAUGAUUAGAGACAUCAGGGGCAUAAUGCCUUUGAUCUAUUUUUAAACUUUAAAUAGGUAAGAUGGUGUGGCUACUUCAUUGAGCCAUGAUUAAGAUAAUAGGACAGUGGUAAUGGAAGUCAAAAUCCACUAAAGAGUGUGUAACAACUCACUUAUCGAAGCAACUAGCCCCAAAAACGGAUGGCACUUAAGUGCAUGACCUACACUCGACCAUUGGAGUAAGGGCCAAGUCCUGAUGAGUAAAAAGGUGUAAUGGUCACCAUGAAACUUAGGCCACAAACCCAAGUAGAGUAGCCAUUGAUGCAAAUCUUAGUGGUAAUAGCAAAUAUUCAAAUGAGAACUUUAAAGGCUGAAGAAAGGAAAGGUUUCAUGUGAAUGACAGUUGCACAUGGGUAAGUUGAUCCUAAAAGAUAGGGGAAGCCCAUCCGAUAGCACAUCCAAUAAAGCUUCAAAAAGGAAUCAAGUUAAAAUUCUUAAACCAGGACAUGGUGGCUGAUGACAACAUUAGGGAGUUCAAUGACAUCAAUAGGGGCCUUGGGAAGAGUUAUUUUUUCUAUUUAACGGCCUACCCACCCUAGAAAUAGCUUAAUCGAAGGUAGGGUGCACUAACUGGAAAAGCACCGCCCAUUAUGUGGUGUCUAGUACAACCCUGAUAGCCUUUAAAAAUCCAGAGGACUAAGCGAUGUCAAUGCCCAAUCAUACUCAUAACCCCAUUAGGUUUCCAAGGUGAACAACCUCUGGUCAAUGGAAUAGCGUAGCUAAGGGAAAUUAGCAAAAUGGAUUUGUAACCUCAGGAAAAGAUUAGCUAUGAAGGGGCCUCUCUAGGAGACAAAUAAUUAGUUCAAAACUAGUAUGAAUAAGGGGAAUCCGACUAUUUAAUUAAAAAUAAGCAUUACGAUGGUCCCUGCAAAUGCUCAUGCAAUGUGAUUUCUUCCCAGUGCUUUGAAUGUUAAAGUGAAGAAAUUUAACCAAGCACAAGUAAACAAUGGGACUAAUUAUGACUCUCUUAAGGUAGCCAAAUGCCUCAUAAUCUAAUUACUGAUGCACAUGAAUGGAUUAAUGAGUUUCCCACUUUCCCUGCUUUCUAUCUAGUGAAACCACAACCAAAGGAAUGGGCUUGGUAGAAUCAAAGGGGAAAAAAGACUUUUUUUAAGGUUUGACUUUAGUCUGACUUUGUGAAAUGACUUGAAAGGUGUAGGAUAAGUGGUAGCCCUCAAGCAAAAUUGAAAUAUCACUACUUUUAAUGUUACUUUUCUUAUUUUAUGAAUUAGAGGUGGGCCAUGACCCCUUUUUUUGGACCUAAGGUUGGCCUUGAUUGGUCAAUCUAAGUGGAAGACAUUGUCAAGUAGGAAGUUUGGCUGGGGUGACACAUCUAUUAAAAGAUAAUACAGAUGUCCUACGAUGAGCUCAACGAGAAGGAAAAUCUCAUAUGGAACAAAAGGGUAAAAGCUCAUUUAAUUCUGAUUUUCACUAGAAUAUGAACCGUGAAAGUGUGGCCUGUCGAUCUUUUAGACCUUAGGAAUUAAAAGCUAGAUCUAUUAGAAAAGUUACCAUAGGGAUAAUUUGUGGUAGCUAAACGUUCAUAGUGAUAAUGCUUUUUGGUCCUUCGAUGUUGGCUUUUCGUAUCAUUAUAAAGCAAAAUUUUCCAAGUGUUGGAUUGUUCACUCACCAAUAAGAAAUGUGAGCUGGGUUUAGACCAUCAUGAGAUAGGUUAGUUUUACCCUACUGAUGAUAGCAUCGCAUGAGUAAUUCAACCUAGUAUGAAAGGUAUUGUUGAUUCGCACAAUUGGUCAUCGUGCUUGGUUGAAAAGCCAGUGGUGUAAAGCUACUGUGCAUUGGAUUAUAACUGAAUGCCUCUAAGUUAGAAUCCAAGCUAGAAGUGAUGCAUGCACCCAUCGCUUGAAUACCGACCCACAAUAGGGGCCCAUGGCCCUUAAGGGCACAUGUCGUAUGUGUAGCCCUCAAGGCGAACAAGCUAUUUGAGCUUUUUUAGAGCUUAAUUCCCACUAAACAGAGGGUACAAUCC
Molecule: ribosomal RNA, 3425 nt
Filed under: Durio zibethinus
Lineage: Eukaryota; Viridiplantae; Streptophyta; Magnoliopsida; Malvales; Malvaceae
Description: eukaryotic LSU rRNA
Rfam family: Eukaryotic large subunit ribosomal RNA (bases 391-3425)
Source: RNAcentral